This 724-nucleotide small RNA is filed under the name Pan troglodytes (chimpanzee). RNAcentral's name for it is "processed transcript". The record is from RNAcentral. Lineage: Eukaryota; Metazoa; Chordata; Mammalia; Primates; Hominidae.
AGUCCCGGCUUGGAACUGAACUGUGUGAGCACGGGUCCUGGAACCCGGGCCCAGAACCGGCGAGCCCAGGUCUGAGCCCAGAGCUCAGCGGUCAGCCUGGUAGGCCCUGACUCGGAAUCGAGCCGAGGCGCUGAGCUUGGAGCCGGAGAGCGGGAGAGCCGGAGAGCAGGGAGGGCGGGCCGGCUGCGCGUCCGACGAGUCGCAGAGCAGGACCGCGGAAGGCAGGGAGACGGCCGCAAGCCCAGGGCAGAGGGCAGAGGGCAGAGAGCGGCCUGGCUCGGCGGAGAGGGCGCCGCCCGGCCGGAACCGAGCUCGCCGCCCGGGACGGCGGCCCCCCGUGGGGCGCGGACCCAGGGUGGCCGUGGGUCCGCAGCGACUCCCCGGCCGACGGCGGGGGGCGUGCCCCCUCCCAGCCCAGCCUCCCCAACCCGGCCCGCCCGCCGCGUCGCGGGGGCAUGUGAGCGGGAAGCCUAGGCUGCCAGCCGCGAGGACCGCACGGAGGAGGAGCAGGAGCGCGGAGCCGCGAGCCCCGAGCCCCGAGCCCGGCGCCUGGCUGAGUAGACUGUAGCUCUCCAGAGGGUAAUGGGUCCCCAGAACCCAAGAGACCAGGAGCGUCGGAGGCUGCCUCUGGAAGCCAGGAGAAGCUGGACUUCAACCGAAAUUUGAAAGAAGUGGUGCCAGCCAUAGAGAAGCUGUUGUCCAGUGACUGGAAGGAGAGGUUUCU